GCAAACUUGGUCAUUUAGAGGAAGUAAAAGUCGUAACAAGGUAACCGUAGGUGAACCUGCGGUUGGAUCAUUAGAAAAGGUGAAGGGUGUAGUGGCCCGCGGGGUGCUUGUUACCCCGAAAAACACACUAGUCCUCUUGUUCUAACAGGAGGACAAAUAAAACUUAUUUGUGAACUGUUCCUGUCUCUGGCGAGCGGGUAGUGUCAUCUGCUACUUGUCAGCGCAAUGCCAGCGCCGUGGACAACUCGCCAACCAAAUCUGUAUUCAAACAUUUUUGCUCCAAAUUCUUUUGUCUGAAAACUUUUCUGUGUAAAACUAGGAAAAAACAACUUUUGGCAACGGAUCUCUAGGCUCUCGCAUCGAUGAAGAACGCAGC
This 376-nucleotide unclassified non-coding RNA is filed under the name uncultured fungus. RNAcentral describes it as "partial contains small subunit ribosomal RNA, internal transcribed spacer 1, and 5.8S ribosomal RNA". The stretch from base 1 to 73 matches the Rfam family "Eukaryotic small subunit ribosomal RNA", at positions 1759 to 1831 of the family's 1831-position model. The record is from RNAcentral. Lineage: Eukaryota; Fungi.